ACUCUACUCUAACUAAUAACUCUACAUAACUCUAUAGUAACACUACAGUAACUCUACAGUAACACUACAGUAACUCUACAGUAACAUUACAGAACUCUACAGUAACAAUUCAGUAACUCUACAGAACUCUACAGAACUCUAUAGUAAGACUACAGUAACUCUACAGUAACACUACAGUAACACUACAGUAACUCUACAGAACUCUAUAGUAACUCUACAGUAACAUUACAGAACUCUACAGUAACAAUUCAGUAACUCUACAGAAUUCUACAGAAUUCUACAGUAACACUACAGUAACACUACAGUAACUCUACAGUAACUCUACAGAACUCUAUAGUAAGACUACAGUAACUCUACAGUAACACUACAGUAACUCUACAGUAACUCUACAGUAACACUACAGUAACUCUUCAGUAACACUACAGUAACUCUACAGUAACAUUACAGAACUCUACAGUAACAAUUCAGUAACUCUACAGAAUUCUACAUAACUCUACAGUAACACUACAGUAACACUACAGUAACUCUACAGAACUCUAUAGUAACUCUACAGUAACAUUACAGAACUCUACAGUAACAAUUCAGUAACUCUACAGAAUUCUACAGAAUUCUACAGUAACACUACAGUAACACUACAGUAACUCUACAGUAACUCUACAGAACUCUAUAGUAAGACUACAGUAACUCUACAGUAACACUACAGUAACUCUACAGUAACUCUACAGAACUCUAUAGUAAGACUACAGUAACUCUACAGUAACACUACAGUAACUCUACAGUAACUCUACAUAAUUCUAUAGUAACUCUACAGUAACAUUACAGAACUCUACAGUAACACUACAGUAACUCUACAGAAUUCUACAGUAACACUACAGUAACUCUACAGUAACUCUACAGAACUCUAUAGUAAGACUACAGUAACUCUACAGUAACUUUACAGAAUUCUACAGUAACACUACAGUAACUCUACAGAACUCUACAGUAACAAUUCAGUAACUCUACAGAAUUCUACAGUAACACUACAGUAACUCUACAGAACUCUACAGUAACUCUACAUAACUCUAUAGUAAGACUACAGUAACUCUACAGAACUCUAUAGUAAGACUACAGUAACUCUACAGUAACUCUACAUAAUUCUAUAGUAACUCUACAGUAACAUUACAGAACUCUACAGUAACAAUUCAGUAACUCUACAGAAUUCUACAGUAACACUACAGUAACACUACAGUAACUCUACAGUAACUCUACAGAACUCUAUAGUAAGACUACAGUAACUCUACAGAACUCUAUAGUAAGACUACAGUAACUCUACAGUAACACUACAGUAACUCUACAGUAACUCUACAUAAUUCUAUAGUAACUCUACAGUAACAUUACAGAACUCUACAGUAACACUACUGUAACUCUACAGAACUCUACAGUAACUCUACAGAACUCUAUAGUAACACUACAGUAACUCUACAGUAACUCUACAGUCAUACUGUUCUAACUCUACAGGACACUGAUGAUUUUUGUCAGAUGUUCAGGUCAGUGUUUGAAACAACACGCUACAAAAUACCAAAGAAAGAUCACACCAUCAUGACCUUAUAAAAUGUUUCUCAAAGCAAAAUAUGUUUAUUGCACCUUAGAG
Astatotilapia calliptera (eastern happy) is the source of this 1630-nucleotide long non-coding RNA. NCBI's taxonomy places the organism in Eukaryota, Metazoa, Chordata, Actinopteri, Cichliformes, Cichlidae. The record is from Ensembl.